CGCGUAAUUAAAACUGAUAAAACGAAACGCUCUUGGCACGAAAAUUAAACCUAUCCGUAAACGUCCUCCUGUUGUUGGGUUAGGACACAGCAGAAUAUAUAUUAUAAUUAACCUCAAUCCCCGAGAUAAAUAACAAAGUCGUUCGUUUGUCCGUUAUUAUACUUCCUACAAUUUUCGAAUAAUUGACGAUAAUGAUAGAAUAUUAAAAAGCAUUGCAUAUUUACAUAUUAUUUUAACAAACCUCUGUGCAAAAUGUCAAGAUAUUUAGACCUGCAGUUGGUAUUGAGAUACUGUAAUGAUAGUCAACGAGUGAGUGACUUAUAUAAUAGAUUUCAAUUGAAAAACGAUUCUGAGUACAAUUCGUUAACCCAAGGCAGGUUACAGUGACUCGUACUGUAUAGUAUAUUAUAAAUAUAAUUGUACGUCGUUAAAAGCCAAACGAAU
Cinara cedri is the source of this 444-nucleotide non-coding RNA. The record is from the annotation of a GenBank genome assembly. Lineage: Eukaryota; Metazoa; Arthropoda; Insecta; Hemiptera; Aphididae.